AUGCCUAGGAUUGCUGCGAAGCUCCCGCGCCGCCGCCGGCGGCUGUGCGCGGACGAGGACCGCCUCGGUGACCUCCCCGACGAUCUGCUCCUUGACAUCCUGCGCCGCCUCGACACCCGCACCGCGCUCGGCGCCGCGGCGCUCUCCAGGCGCUGGGCCAGCCUGCCCCGCGAGGUCCCCGUCCUGGACCUCAAGGUCAGCGACAUACUGCCGCCCCGCUACCACCGGUGCUUCCGCCUCAGCGAAGACGCCAGGGAUUCGAAAAUCAGCUCGACCUUGUCUGACAGGAGGCUUCUAGAGGCUAUCACCGCCCGGUACGAGCGCCGCGCCAUGCGAUCCAUGGUCUGCUCCCUCAAGAGCCUCCUGGCCAGCCAAGCUCGCCGGCGCGUGGAGAGGCUGUCGCUCGAGGUCUUCGCCUACAGCACCUCGGCCUGCAUCAACCGCCUGGUCGUGGACGCCGUCGAUUCCUGGGGCGUCCGGGAUCUGGAGGUUGUUGCCACCCCGACAGGGCCGCUCACGCGUCUGGAGCCGUCGGCCUACAGCUUCCCUCUAGGCCUCAUCAGCAGGAAGCCCGGCGAGUCCCGACUGCGAAGCCUCAAACUUGCCAACUGCUUGCCCCCGCCGCUCCGGGGAUUCAACGCGCUCACCACGCUCGUCUUGCGAGACUUGCCGGUUCCCACGCCGGCGGCCGCCUACGAGGAAGCGGUCGCCGCGUGCCCGCAGUUGCAAGUGCUACACAUCCUUUCAUGCGAGAUCAAGAUAACUGCCCGCAGGGUGGUUCUUGACGCGCCCAAAUCGGAAAUCAGGGAGCUUGUACUCGGCGGCGAGCUCGUGUCGGUCGAGAUCCGGUCUCUCCCGAAGCUCGAGAGUCUCGCCAGCCAGGAAGCUACCGUGCUGCUUUGCUCCGCCGCCGCCGCCCCGUGCCUUGCGCACGUGAGCCUCGCCUUCUCGGUUGGCCGACUGGAAGGGGGCGGUUUAGCUGGUCUAAACCGCUCCUACCGCGACUUCUUGAUUCAGCGGCUCGUGCAGUUCUUCCAGGGCGCCAUCACCGUGAAGGAUCUGGUCUUGCGGUUUACUGGGCCAGAGAUGUGGAUCAUGCCGGAGAAUCCCUUCUCUGCAAUGGCGAACCUGAGAAGGCUGCUCGUCGCCGAUGUGCCUUCCUCAUGGGACGCCUCAUGGCCGCGCCUGCUCAUCGAGACGGCACCGUUACUUGAGAGCCUUUAUGUGCAUGUCUCCCACAGCGAAGGCGAGCCGAGACAGGAGGUGCCGGGGGAGACAUCGGCUUCGCGCCAUUACCAUUUGAAGGAGCUUGUUGUCAUUGGAUUCCAGAGGACGGAGAGGCAGAUGCGCCUUGUGAGGUUCACCGUGGAGGUAUCCACGGCGCUGCGGCGUGUCGCACUGCUCAAGCAGGGACGCGUCGAGGACAAAGGGUCCUGCUGCGACUGGGAGGUGGUGAGCCAGCAGAGCGCGUGGUGCGACGAGGAGAGGCUCGCCGUUCUGGAUGGUAUCGGCUGUUCGACGGGACAGAUCGAAGUGGUGCUCAGUUGA
RNAcentral lists this ribosomal RNA (1548 nucleotides) under Triticum aestivum (bread wheat). RNAcentral describes it as "partial small subunit ribosomal RNA". The record is from RNAcentral. Lineage: Eukaryota; Viridiplantae; Streptophyta; Magnoliopsida; Poales; Poaceae.